Molecule: ribosomal RNA, 2898 nt
Filed under: Escherichia coli
Lineage: Bacteria; Pseudomonadati; Pseudomonadota; Gammaproteobacteria; Enterobacterales; Enterobacteriaceae
Description: bacterial LSU rRNA
Rfam family: Bacterial large subunit ribosomal RNA
Source: RNAcentral
UUAAGCGACUAAGCGUACACGGUGGAUGCCCUGGCAGUCAGAGGCGAUGAAGGACGUGCUAAUCUGCGAUAAGCGUCGGUAAGGUGAUAUGAACCGUUAUAACCGGCGAUUUCCGAAUGGGGAAACUCAGUGUGAUUCGUCACACUAUCAUUAACUGAAUCCAUAGGUUAAUGAGGCGAACCGGGGGAACUGAAACAUCUAAGUACCCCGAGGAAAAGAAAUCAACCGAGAUUCCCCCAGUAGCGGCGAGCGAACGGGGAGGAGCCCAGAGCCUGAAUCAGUGUGUGUGUUAGUGGAAGCGUCUGGAAAGGCGCGCGAUACAGGGUGACAGCCCCGUACACAAAAAUGCACAUGCUGUGAGCUCGAUGAGUAGGGCGGGACACGUGGUAUCCUGUCUGAAUAUGGGGGGACCAUCCUCCAAGGCUAAAUACUCCUGACUGACCGAUAGUGAACCAGUACCGUGAGGGAAAGGCGAAAAGAACCCCGGCGAGGGGAGUGAAAAAGAACCUGAAACCGUGUACGUACAAGCAGUGGGAGCACGCUUAGGCGUGUGACUGCGUACCUUUUGUAUAAUGGGUCAGCGACUUAUAUUCUGUAGCAAGGUUAACCGAAUAGGGGAGCCGAAGGGAAACCGAGUCUUAACUGGGCGUUAAGUUGCAGGGUAUAGACCCGAAACCCGGUGAUCUAGCCAUGGGCAGGUUGAAGGUUGGGUAACACUAACUGGAGGACCGAACCGACUAAUGUUGAAAAAUUAGCGGAUGACUUGUGGCUGGGGUGAAAGGCCAAUCAAACCGGGAGAUAGCUGGUUCUCCCCGAAAGCUAUUUAGGUAGCGCCUCGUGAAUUCAUCUCCGGGGGUAGAGCACUGUUUCGGCAAGGGGGUCAUCCCGACUUACCAACCCGAUGCAAACUGCGAAUACCGGAGAAUGUUAUCACGGGAGACACACGGCGGGUGCUAACGUCCGUCGUGAAGAGGGAAACAACCCAGACCGCCAGCUAAGGUCCCAAAGUCAUGGUUAAGUGGGAAACGAUGUGGGAAGGCCCAGACAGCCAGGAUGUUGGCUUAGAAGCAGCCAUCAUUUAAAGAAAGCGUAAUAGCUCACUGGUCGAGUCGGCCUGCGCGGAAGAUGUAACGGGGCUAAACCAUGCACCGAAGCUGCGGCAGCGACACUGUGUGUUGUUGGGUAGGGGAGCGUUCUGUAAGCCUGUGAAGGUGUGCUGUGAGGCAUGCUGGAGGUAUCAGAAGUGCGAAUGCUGACAUAAGUAACGAUAAAGCGGGUGAAAAGCCCGCUCGCCGGAAGACCAAGGGUUCCUGUCCAACGUUAAUCGGGGCAGGGUGAGUCGACCCCUAAGGCGAGGCCGAAAGGCGUAGUCGAUGGGAAACAGGUUAAUAUUCCUGUACUUGGUGUUACUGCGAAGGGGGGACGGAGAAGGCUAUGUUGGCCGGGCGACGGUUGUCCCGGUUUAAGCGUGUAGGCUGGUUUUCCAGGCAAAUCCGGAAAAUCAAGGCUGAGGCGUGAUGACGAGGCACUACGGUGCUGAAGCAACAAAUGCCCUGCUUCCAGGAAAAUCCUCUAAGCAUCAGGUAACAUCAAAUCGUACCCCAAACCGACACAGGUGGUCAGGUAGAGAAUACCAAGGCGCUUGAGAGAACUCGGGUGAAGGAACUAGGCAAAAUGGUGCCGUAACUUCGGGAGAAGGCACGCUGAUAUGUAGGUGAAGCGACUUGCUCGUGGAGCUGAAAUCAGUCGAAGAUACCAGCUGGCUGCAACUGUUUAUUAAAAACACAGCACUGUGCAAACACGAAAGUGGACGUAUACGGUGUGACGCCUGCCCGGUGCCGGAAGGUUAAUUGAUGGGGUCAGCGCAAGCGAAGCUCUUGAUCGAAGCCCCGGUAAACGGCGGCCGUAACUAUAACGGUCCUAAGGUAGCGAAAUUCCUUGUCGGGUAAGUUCCGACCUGCACGAAUGGCGUAAUGAUGGCCAGGCUGUCUCCACCCGAGACUCAGUGAAAUUGAACUCGCUGUGAAGAUGCAGUGUACCCGCGGCAAGACGGAAAGACCCCGUGAACCUUUACUAUAGCUUGACACUGAACAUUGAGCCUUGAUGUGUAGGAUAGGUGGGAGGCUUAGAAGUGUGGACGCCAGUCUGCAUGGAGCCGACCUUGAAAUACCACCCUUUAAUGUUUGAUGUUCUAACGUUGACCCGUAAUCCGGGUUGCGGACAGUGUCUGGUGGGUAGUUUGACUGGGGCGGUCUCCUCCUAAAGAGUAACGGAGGAGCACGAAGGUUGGCUAAUCCUGGUCGGACAUCAGGAGGUUAGUGCAAUGGCAUAAGCCAGCUUGACUGCGAGCGUGACGGCGCGAGCAGGUGCGAAAGCAGGUCAUAGUGAUCCGGUGGUUCUGAAUGGAAGGGCCAUCGCUCAACGGAUAAAAGGUACUCCGGGGAUAACAGGCUGAUACCGCCCAAGAGUUCAUAUCGACGGCGGUGUUUGGCACCUCGAUGUCGGCUCAUCACAUCCUGGGGCUGAAGUAGGUCCCAAGGGUAUGGCUGUUCGCCAUUUAAAGUGGUACGCGAGCUGGGUUUAGAACGUCGUGAGACAGUUCGGUCCCUAUCUGCCGUGGGCGCUGGAGAACUGAGGGGGGCUGCUCCUAGUACGAGAGGACCGGAGUGGACGCAUCACUGGUGUUCGGGUUGUCAUGCCAAUGGCACUGCCGGUAGCUAAAUGCGGAAGAGAUAAGUGCUGAAAGCAUCUAAGCACGAAACUUGCCCCGAGAUGAGUUCUCCCUGACCCUUUAAGGGUCCUGAAGGAACGUUGAAGACGACGACGUUGAUAGGCCGGGUGUGUAAGCGCAGCGAUGCGUUGAGCUAACCGGUACUAAUGAACGUGAGGCUUAACCUU